This 468-nucleotide ribosomal RNA is filed under the name Bacillus subtilis. RNAcentral describes it as "bacterial SSU rRNA". It matches the Rfam family "Bacterial small subunit ribosomal RNA", at positions 1027 to 1495 of the family's 1533-position model. Lineage: Bacteria; Bacillati; Bacillota; Bacilli; Caryophanales; Bacillaceae. The record is from RNAcentral.
CAGAGUGACAGGUGGUGCAUGGUUGUCGUCAGCUCGUGUCGUGAGAUGUUGGGUUAAGUCCCGCAACGAGCGCAACCCUUGAUCUUAGUUGCCAGCAUUCAGUUGGGCACUCUAAGGUGACUGCCGGUGACAAACCGGAGGAAGGUGGGGAUGACGUCAAAUCAUCAUGCCCCUUAUGACCUGGGCUACACACGUGCUACAAUGGACAGAACAAAGGGCAGCGAAACCGCGAGGUUAAGCCAAUCCCACAAAUCUGUUCUCAGUUCGGAUCGCAGUCUGCAACUCGACUGCGUGAAGCUGGAAUCGCUAGUAAUCGCGGAUCAGCAUGCCGCGGUGAAUACGUUCCCGGGCCUUGUACACACCGCCCGUCACACCACGAGAGUUUGUAACACCCGAAGUCGGUGAGGUAACCUUUUAGGAGCCAGCCGCCGAAGGUGGGACAGAUGAUUGGGGUGAAGUCGUAACAAG